UACGUGGGGGGCAAGCGUUGUUCGGAAUUACUGGGCGUAAAGGGCGCGUAGGCGGCCCGGCAAGUCAGGGGUGAAAGCCCUGGGCUCAACCCGGGAACUGCUGUUGAAACUGCCGAGCUAGAGUGCGGAAGGGGCAACUGGAAUUCCCAGUGUAGCGGUGAAAUGCGUAGAUAUUGGGAAGAACACCUGAGGCGAAGGCGGGUUGCUGGGCCGACACUGACGCUGAGGCGCGAAAGCCAGGGGAGCGAACGGG
This 253-nucleotide ribosomal RNA is filed under the name uncultured bacterium. Its description in RNAcentral is "partial 16S ribosomal RNA". It matches the Rfam family "Bacterial small subunit ribosomal RNA", at positions 524 to 776 of the family's 1533-position model. The record is from RNAcentral.